CAGCAGUCGCCACGGGAAUACAGAGGGUGCGAGCGUUAAUCGGAUUUACUGGGCGUAAAGCGUGCGUAGGCGGCUUUUUAAGUCGGAUGUGAAAUCCCUGAGCUUAACUUAGGAAUUGCAUUCGAUACUGGGAAGCUAGAGUAUGGGAGAGGAUGGUAGAAUUCCAGGUGUAGCGGUGAAAUGCGUAGAGAUCUGGAGGAAUACCGAUGGCGAAGGCAGCCAUCUGGCCUAAUACUGACGCUGAGGUACGAAAGCAUGGGGAGCAAACAGGAUUAGAUACCCCUGUAGUCCCUGUCUCUUAUAA
Molecule: ribosomal RNA, 304 nt
Filed under: uncultured bacterium
Lineage: Bacteria
Description: partial 16S ribosomal RNA
Rfam family: Bacterial small subunit ribosomal RNA
Source: RNAcentral